UUUUUAUAUUUUUGAAUUUCAAGUUACAUGUAUAAGGACAUGUUGUGGCCACAACUUGUGAGGGUCACAAGACCCACAGGUGUAUAAAUUUCACAGCCGUGGGUGUGUAAGCAUCUAUAAUGCACAAGGACACAAAGACCUAGCUUCCAUGAAUUCCUUUGUUACAGAUUACUACUAGCAAAACAAAUACAUAUUUACACGUACCACAACAUUACCACUAGGAAAGCAACUAUAUACAGAAGAGUAAAGCAAGCAUAUAUCACAAGUUACUACAGAAUUCUAACUAGUGAAGCAAAUGCAUAAGUGGGCCACAGGACUUCAGUUCCUAGAACUCUUGUUUUCCUGCUGACUCCUGUUUUCCUUGGAGGUCAGUUCAUUACCACAUCUUCUUUGUUCUGAGUCCAUCAAGGUUUCUUUGUCCUGCCAGCUACACCUCAUCAAUGAGGUUUCACUGAGUUUAUCAGGAAUGUCUUGGUGCUCCCAGCUAGUUAGACAUCCUUCUCUGGCAUUAUGUUUAUCGGGUUACCUUUGUGACAGCUCUGACAGGACAGUUAAGGGUCAUCAGUGAACUGUUGACAUGGUCAAGAGAGAAAACACCAUUCUCUUUUCAAAAUAAUCUGUUUAGAGAUAAGAAGCAAGCUCAAAAUCAUUGUGGACACACACACACGGAAAACCUGCUGAGGAUGUUAUGAUGUUCUUUCUUCUGGAUGUCCUAGUUGCUCCAUUUUGGAUGGAAGCCACCUACUCACCAGGCCAGUGCUUAGGAUCUCAGCAAUAUCCCUUGCAUAAUCACACUUUCUUCUUUGAGCAUUGAACCUUGUUUACCCACAAAAGUAAAAGACUAAAUUAUACAUAAAUAAAUCUACUCAGUGUGGAUUCAUUAAAAGCAAAUAUGUACCAAAAAAAAAAAAAGAAAAGGAAUUUUUUCCUUGUGAAGAAGAU
Anas platyrhynchos (mallard) is the source of this 942-nucleotide long non-coding RNA. RefSeq lists it as uncharacterized. The record is from RefSeq and is a predicted model, not a curated record. NCBI's taxonomy places the organism in Eukaryota, Metazoa, Chordata, Aves, Anseriformes, Anatidae.